Molecule: ribosomal RNA, 252 nt
Filed under: uncultured bacterium
Lineage: Bacteria
Description: partial 16S ribosomal RNA
Rfam family: Bacterial small subunit ribosomal RNA
Source: RNAcentral
UACAGAGGGAGCAAGCGUUAUCCGGAAUGAUUGGGUGUAAAGCGUUUGUAGGUGGUUCAUUAAGUCUAAUGUCAAAAGGCAGGGCUUAACCUUGUGAAGGCAUUGGAGAACUAAUGAGCUAGAGUACGGUAGGGCAGAGGGAAUUCCAUGUGGAGCGGUGAAAUGCGUAGAGAUAUGGAAGAACACCAGUGGCGAAGGCGCUCUGCUGGGCCGAAACUGACACUGAGAGACGAAAGCCAGGGAGCGAAUAGG